Molecule: ribosomal RNA, 203 nt
Filed under: uncultured bacterium
Lineage: Bacteria
Description: partial 16S ribosomal RNA
Rfam family: Bacterial small subunit ribosomal RNA
Source: RNAcentral
GCAGUCUGAAACUCGAGUGCAUGAAGCUAGAAUCGCUAGUAAUCGCAAAUCAGAAUGUUGCGGUGAAUACGUUCCCGGGUCUUGUACACACCGCCCGUCACACCCAUGGGGAGUUGGAAAUGCCCGAAGUCAGUGACCCAACCAAAAGGAGGGAGCUGCCGAAGGCAGGUUCGAUGACUGGGGUGAAGUCGUAACAAGGUAGC